This 481-nucleotide ribosomal RNA is filed under the name uncultured bacterium. RNAcentral's name for it is "partial 16S ribosomal RNA". It matches the Rfam family "Bacterial small subunit ribosomal RNA", at positions 30 to 507 of the family's 1533-position model. The record is from RNAcentral.
UUGAACGCUGGCGGCAUGCCUUACACAUGCAAGUCGAACGGUAACGGGCCUUCGGGUGCCGCCGAGUGGCGGCCGGGUGAGUAAUACAUCGGAACGUGCCCGAUCGUGGGGGAUAACGAGGCGAAAGCUUUGCUAAUACCGCAUACGAUCUACGGAUGAAAGCAGGGGACCGCAAGGCCUUGCGCGGACGGAGCGGCCGAUGGCAGAUUAGGUAGUUGGUGGGAUAAAAGCCUACCAAGCCGACGAUCUGUAGCUGGUCUGAGAGGAUGAUCAGCCACACUGGGACUGAGACACGGCCCAGACUCCUACGGGAGGCAGCAGUGGGGAAUUUUGGACAAUGGGCGCAAGCCUGAUCCAGCCAUGCCGCGUGCAGGAUGAAGGCCUUCGGGUUGUAAACUGCUUUUGUACGGAACGAAAAGCCUUCUUUUAAUACAGGAGGGUCAUGACGGUACCGUAAGAAUAAGCACCGGCUAACUACGUG